This 25-nucleotide non-coding RNA is filed under the name Mus musculus (house mouse). The record is from RNAcentral. Lineage: Eukaryota; Metazoa; Chordata; Mammalia; Rodentia; Muridae.
UAGAUUAGGAGGGAUGCCAGAGUAA